GGAAUUGACGGGGACCCGCACAAGCGGUGGAGCAUGUGGUUUAAUUCGAAGCAACGCGAAGAACCUUACCAAAUCUUGACAUCCUCUGACCCCUCUAGAGAUAGAGUUUUCCCCUUCGGGGGACAGAGUGACAGGUGGUGCAUGGUUGUCGUCAGCUCGUGUCGUGAGAUGUUGGGUUAAGUCCCGCAACGAGCGCAACCCUUAAGCUUAGUUGCCAUCAUUAAGUUGGGCACUCUAAGUUGACUGCCGGUGACAAACCGGAGGAAGGUGGGGAUGACGUCAAAUCAUCAUGCCCCUUAUGAUUUGGGCUACACACGUGCUACAAUGGACAAUACAAAGGGUAGCGAAACCGCGAGGUCAAGCAAAUCCCAUAAAGUUGUUCUCAGUUCGGAUUGUAGUCUGCAACUCGACUAUAUGAAGCUGGAAUCGCUAGUAAUCGUAGAUCAGCAUGCUACGGUGAAUACGUUCCCGGGUCUUGUACACACCGCCCGUCACACCACGAGAGUUUGUAACACCCGAAGCCGGUGGAGUAACCAUUUGGAGCUAGCCGUCGAAGGUGGGACAAA
This 566-nucleotide ribosomal RNA is filed under the name Staphylococcus epidermidis. Its description in RNAcentral is "bacterial SSU rRNA". It matches the Rfam family "Bacterial small subunit ribosomal RNA", at positions 906 to 1471 of the family's 1533-position model. The record is from RNAcentral. Lineage: Bacteria; Bacillati; Bacillota; Bacilli; Caryophanales; Staphylococcaceae.